CCUACGGGAGGCAGCAGUCGAGAAUCAUUCACAAUGGGGGAAACCCUGAUGGUGCGACGCCGCGUGGGGGAAUGAAGGUCUUCGGAUUGUAAACCCCUGUCAUGUGGGAGCAAAUUAAAAAGAUAGUACCACAAGAGGAAGAGACGGCUAACUCUGUGCCAGCAGCCGCGGUAAUACAGAGGUCUCAAGCGUUGUUCGGAAUCACUGGGCGUAAAGCGUGCGUAGGCUGUUUCGUAAGUCGUGUGUGAAAGGCGCGGGCUCAACCCGCGGACGGCACAUGAUACUGCGAGACUAGAGUAAUGGAGGGGGAACCGGAAUUCUCGGUGUAGCAGUGAAAUGCGUAGAUAUCGAGAGGAACACUCGUGGCGAAGGCGGGUUCCUGGACAUUAACUGACGCUGAGGCACGAAGGCCAGGGGAGCGAGAGGGAUUAGAUACCCUUGUAGUC
This 446-nucleotide ribosomal RNA is filed under the name uncultured bacterium. Its description in RNAcentral is "partial 16S ribosomal RNA". It matches the Rfam family "Bacterial small subunit ribosomal RNA", at positions 338 to 795 of the family's 1533-position model. The record is from RNAcentral.